Molecule: ribosomal RNA, 234 nt
Filed under: uncultured bacterium
Lineage: Bacteria
Description: partial 16S ribosomal RNA
Rfam family: Bacterial small subunit ribosomal RNA
Source: RNAcentral
CGCACGGGUGAGUAACACGUAUCCAACCUGCCGUCUACUCUUGGACAGCCUCUGAAAGGAAGAUUAAUACAAGAUGGCAUCAUGAGUUCACAUGUUCACAUGAUUAAAGGUAUUCCGGUAGACGAUGGGGAUGCGUUCCAUUAGAUAGUAGGCGGGGUAACGGCCCACCUAGUCUUCGAUGGAUAGGGGUUCUGAGAGGAAGGUCCCCCACAUUGGAACUGAGACACGGUCCAA